CUACGGGCGGCUGCAGCAAGGAAUAUUGCGCAAUGGACGAAAGUCUGACGCAGCGACACCGCGUGGAGGAUGACGCAUUUCGGUGUGUAAACUCCUUUUAUAUGUCAAGAAAAUGACGGUAGCAUAUGAAUAAGCACCGGCUAACUCCGUGCCAGCAGCCGCGGUAAUACGGAGGGUGCAAGCGUUACUCGGAAUCACUGGGCGUAAAGGACGCGUAGGCGGGUUGGAAAGUCAGGUGUGAAAUCCUACAGCUUAACUGUAGAACUGCACUUGAAACUUCUAAUCUAGAGUAUGGGAGGGGGAGAUGGAAUUAGUGGUGUAGGGGUAAAAUCCGUAGAUAUCACUAGGAAUACCUAAAGCGAAGGCGAUCUCCUGGAACAUUACUGACGCUAAGGCGUGAAAGCGUGGGGAGCAAACAGGAUUAGAUACCCCAGUAGUC
RNAcentral lists this ribosomal RNA (439 nucleotides) under uncultured bacterium. RNAcentral describes it as "partial 16S ribosomal RNA". It matches the Rfam family "Bacterial small subunit ribosomal RNA", at positions 339 to 795 of the family's 1533-position model. The record is from RNAcentral.